Pelobates cultripes (western spadefoot toad) is the source of this 226-nucleotide non-coding RNA. The record is from the annotation of a GenBank genome assembly. Lineage: Eukaryota; Metazoa; Chordata; Amphibia; Anura; Pelobatidae.
CAUGGAGCCCUAUGAAGUGGAGAUUAUUUCUUCUGCUCCUAUUCUCAAAGUCCUAUGCCUUCAGUUGAAGUUGUGUGAUGAGAUCAGAUUGUUGUUAAAGUUGUGUUUGUAGUUUUGUUGUGAAGUGGAGUCUGGAAGAGCUGGAGGUCACUUUGCUGACAAGAUUUCUAAUGGUAUGUUGCAUUGAUAUUUGGGAGAUCUGAUGUUAAUAAAGUGUAAGAUGUGG